GACGAACGCUGGCGGCGUGCUUAACACAUGCAAGUCGAACGGAAAGGCCCUGCUUUUGUGGGGUGCUCGUGUGGCGCACGGGUGAGUAACACGUGAGUAACCUGCCCUUGACUUUGGGAUAACUUCAGGAAACUGGGGCUCUUACCGGAUAGGAGCUCCUGCUGCAUGGUGGGGGUUGGAAAGUUUCGGCGGUUGGAGAUCGAUUGGCGGCUUAUCAGCUUGUUGGUGGGGUAGUGGCUGACCAAGGCUUUGACGGAUAGCCGGCCUGAGAGGGUGACCGGGCACAAGGGGACUGAGAGACGGAGCAGUAGCCAACGGGAGGCAGUAGGCGAGAGUAUGACACAGCAGGCGGAAGUCAGUGACAGAAACGCUCGGUGCGGGAUGACGGGCUACGGGGUGAAAACCGCUGUGGACGUAGACGAAGAGUUCUUGACGGUAAUGGGUAAAAAAGCAACGGCUAACUACGUG
RNAcentral lists this ribosomal RNA (468 nucleotides) under uncultured bacterium. RNAcentral's name for it is "partial 16S ribosomal RNA". It matches the Rfam family "Bacterial small subunit ribosomal RNA", at positions 28 to 507 of the family's 1533-position model. The record is from RNAcentral.